GUCCAUGCCGUAAACGUUGGGAACUAGAUGUAGGGCCUGUUCCACGGGUUCUGUGUCGUAGCUAACGCAUUAAGUUCCCCGCCUGGGGAGUACGGCCGCAAGGCUAAAACUCAAAGGAAUUGACGGGGCCCGCACAAGCGGCGGAGCAUGCGGAUUAAUUCGAUGCAACGCGAAGAACCUUACCAAGGCUUGACAUAUACGAGAACGGGCGAGAGAUCGUCAACUCUUUGGACACUCGUAAACAGGUGGUGCAUGGUUGUCGU
Molecule: ribosomal RNA, 263 nt
Filed under: uncultured bacterium
Lineage: Bacteria
Description: partial 16S ribosomal RNA
Rfam family: Bacterial small subunit ribosomal RNA
Source: RNAcentral